AACGAACGCUGGCGGCAUGCCUAACACAUGCAAGUCGAACGAGACCUUCGGGUCUAGUGGCGCACGGGUGCGUAACGCGUGGGAACCUGCCCUUAGGUUCGGAAUAACUCCCCGAAAGGGGUGCUAAUACCGGAUAAUGUCUUCGGACCAAAGAUUUAUCGCCUUUGGAUGGGCCCGCGUUGGAUUAGCUAGUUGGUAGGGUAAAAGCCUACCAAGGCGACGAUCCAUAGAUGGUCUGAGAGGAUGAUCAGCCACACUGGGACUGAGACACGGCCCAGACUACUACGGGAGGCAGCAGUGGGGAAUAUUGGAAAAUGGGCGAAAGCCUGAUCAAGCAAUGCCGCGUGAGUGAUGAAGGCAUUAGGGUUGUAAAGCUAUUUUAACCGGGAUGAUAAUGACAGUACCGGGAGAAUAAGCGCCGGCUAACUCCGUG
RNAcentral lists this ribosomal RNA (433 nucleotides) under uncultured bacterium. RNAcentral's name for it is "partial 16S ribosomal RNA". It matches the Rfam family "Bacterial small subunit ribosomal RNA", at positions 29 to 507 of the family's 1533-position model. The record is from RNAcentral.